UCACUCUCUUUUUGCGGUUGCAAAAUGGGUUUUUGGCCUGAGGCCUUCCAGCUCUGAACAGCUGAAGUCGCCUUAGACUGGCUGGCAUUUCUAGGCCAGUCGCAAACUUCGGCGGGUCUCGCAAAAUGAAGAUGGUGGAGGAUCGCGCUUUGGGGAAGGUGCCAGGCACGAAUGCGAUGUGGCAUUUGAUGGCCUCUGAUGGACAGUUAAGUGCCAAUGGGAUGAAAAGAGCUGCCGGGUCCUAAAGGACAGGCUCCACAUUCUGGCCAUGGGUAAACAGGCACUAAACAGAAUUAGCUGGAAGUUGAAGGGUUACUGGGUGCAUGUCUUAAAUCUGUGGAUGGCUUGCUUGGGGUAUAGACUUGGAAGUCAUAUAUAAAGUUUCAGGAGUUGCAUUGGCUACAAGGCAUGGAAUGAGGAGCUUUAAGCAAAGGCAGUCCUGUUACCCUGAAGAAUUCAAGGCUAUUUAUGGUGGCAAUAAUCUCCAGCUUACCAACUGAAAGGCAGUUGGUCAGAAGAUAGAUGAAACUUUCAGUUUUAAUAAAUUUCUAUAAACUA
Manis pentadactyla (Chinese pangolin) is the source of this 558-nucleotide long non-coding RNA. RefSeq lists it as uncharacterized. The record is from RefSeq and is a predicted model, not a curated record. NCBI's taxonomy places the organism in Eukaryota, Metazoa, Chordata, Mammalia, Pholidota, Manidae. The transcript has 11 exons.